GCGGAGGAAAAGAAACCAACAGGGAUUGCCCCAGUAACGGCGAGUGAAGCGGCAACAGCUCAAAUUUGAAAUCUGGUCCCCCCGCGGGGCCCGAGUUGUAAUUUGAAGAGGAUGCUUCUGGCAAGGUGCCGUCCGAGUUCCCUGGAACGGGACGCCGCAGAGGGUGAGAGCCCCGUACGGUCGGACGCCGAGCCUCUGUGAAGCUCCUUCGACGAGUCGAGUAGUUUGGGAAUGCUGCUCAAAAUGGGAGGUAAACCCCUUCUAAAGCUAAAUACCGGCCAGAGACCGAUAGCGCACAAGUAGAGUGAUCGAAAGAUGAAAAGCACUUUGAAAAGAGAGUUAAAAAGCACGUGAAAUUGUUGAAAGGGAAGCGCUUGCGACCAGACUCGCGCCCGUCGGAUCAGCCGUCGCUCGUCGGCGGCGCACUCCGGCGGGCUCGGGCCAGCAUCAGUUCGCCUCGGGGGGAGAAAGGCGGCAGGAAUGUGGCUCUACGGAGUGUUAUAGCCUGCCGUACAAUACCCCCGGGCGG
Molecule: ribosomal RNA, 529 nt
Filed under: Microascus trigonosporus
Lineage: Eukaryota; Fungi; Ascomycota; Sordariomycetes; Microascales; Microascaceae
Description: eukaryotic LSU rRNA
Rfam family: Eukaryotic large subunit ribosomal RNA
Source: RNAcentral